AGGACGAACGCUGGCGGCGUGCUUAACACAUGCAAGUCGAGCGGAAAGGCCUUUCGGGGUACUCGAGCGGCGAACGGGUGAGUAACACGUGAGUAAUCUGCCCAUCGCUUCAGGAUAGCCAUCGGAAACGGUGAUUAAUACUGGAUAUGACAUUCCUUCGCAUGUUGGGGUGUGGAAAGUUUUUUCGGCGGUGGAUGUGCUCGCGGCCUAUCAGCUUGUUGGUGGGGUAAUGGCCUACCAAGGCUUUGACGGGUAGCCGGCCUGAGAGGGUGACCGGCCACACUGGGACUGAGACACGGCCCAGACUCCUACGGGAGGCAGCAGUGGGGGAAUAUGGACAAUGGGCGGAAGCCUGAUCCAGCAACGCCGCGUGAGGAUGACGGCCUCGGUUGUAACCGUCUUCUAGCACAGACGAAGUUUGUCUUUUUGGUUGUAAGUGACGGUAUGUGUCAGUAAGAACGGACGGACCGAACGUACGUGCCAGCAGCCGC
This 491-nucleotide ribosomal RNA is filed under the name uncultured soil bacterium. Its description in RNAcentral is "bacterial SSU rRNA". It matches the Rfam family "Bacterial small subunit ribosomal RNA", at positions 26 to 518 of the family's 1533-position model. The record is from RNAcentral.